Long non-coding RNA from Nematolebias whitei (Rio pearlfish), 387 nucleotides. RefSeq lists it as uncharacterized. NCBI's taxonomy places the organism in Eukaryota, Metazoa, Chordata, Actinopteri, Cyprinodontiformes, Rivulidae. The record is from RefSeq and is a predicted model, not a curated record. The transcript is spliced from 3 exons.
UUGCGAACGGUGUCAGGAGCGUCGGCCGUAGCUGAAGAAUGCUUGACGUGGAAAGUGUCCGGGCCGAGUAACAAAGUUCUGGGUGAAACAAGUGUCUUCUCUGUUUUCAGUCGAGGCCUCCACAGAAGAAUGAGUGUAGAUAAAGCCGAGCUGUGUGACUCGCUCUUAACCUGGCUGCAGACGUUUCAGGUCCCGUCCAGUAACAGCAAACAUGACCUAACGAGCGGAGUGGCCGUCGCUCACGUCCUGCACAGAAUAGACCCCUCGUGGUUUAAUGAGACGUGGCUUGGCAGCAUCAAGGAGGAGAGCGAGGACAACUGGCGCCUCAAGGUAGUUUAUGAAACAGCAGGACAUGACGGCUCUCAAUGCUUACUGAGAAUAAUAUUU